Long non-coding RNA from Papio anubis (olive baboon), 1569 nucleotides. NCBI's taxonomy places the organism in Eukaryota, Metazoa, Chordata, Mammalia, Primates, Cercopithecidae. The record is from Ensembl.
CCUUUAUAUAUUUGGGUCCUCCAGUGAUGGGAACAUCUAUAUGUACAGUUUUUAUACCUUCUUGCUGAACUGACUCUUUUGUCAUUAUAUAGUGACCUUUCUCUCUUUCUUACAGGAUGCUGCCUGUUGGGUGGAGACCUGUCCAAAGCUGUUGGCCAGAACAUCUACAGGUGGUUGCUGACUCCCUGAAUACACUUCUCUCUGGCCAAUAACCAACCUACUGUGUCCAGAAGUUAUUCUUUCCAGUGGCUUCUUGGUCUCGCUGACUUCAAGAAUGAAGCUGUGGACCCUCAUGUGUCUUCCUGUGUUGCCCAGGCUCUGGAGUGCAGCGGUGCAACUAGAGGUCACUGUAGCCUUGACCUCCUGGGCUCAAGUGAUCCUCCCACCUCAGUCUUCUGUGUAGUGGGGACCACAGGUGCUUGCCACCAUGCCCAGCUAAGUAAUUAUUUUUAUUUUUUUUCAAGACAGGUCUGGUCAUGUUGCCCAGGCUGGUAUCAAAACUCUGGUCUCAACCAAUCCUCCCUCCUCAGCCUCCUGAAAUGCUGGUUUACAUAAGUGAGCCACCGUGCCCAGCCUAGAAUUCCUUUUAACAACAUUGUGUCCUCUGCUUUGCUUCCUGGGUUUCCCCUUCUUUGUUUAAUUAUAUUUGAUUCUGUUCCCAUACUCAGUCUCACUCAUCGUGCCAGUGUCGUAGGAUCUCCAGCUACAAGGUUCUCUCAGAGACAAACUCUAACUUCUGAAACCUAGCCUCCAUUGCACUCACAAAAUAUUGGUUUUCAUUCUGUAAAUAGGCUAUAAUAUUACCUCUCAAGAGUAUUAUAAAAAUUAAAUGAAACAAGGCCCAUGAGUGUACUUUAUAAGCUAAAAAAGUCCUAGGAGAUAUGACUUCUAUUUAUUAUGGAUUCAUAUGCUUUAUAAUUUUCUACCAGCAGUCACAAAUAAAUGUCUUUAAUGAGAUAAAUCUGCAUAGCCAAAUUCUAAAUCUCUAUUAUUAACUAUGUCCAUUAGGUAAGAUCAUGUAAAUGAUGCAUCUUAUGCACUGUUUUGGAUCCCUGGUAAUUCCCUUUCAUAUACUUUUCCCACCUCUAUCUGCCCUACUUUCUCUUCUUCCUGAGAAAUUUUUAAAAAUAGGAGCUAGUGUAAAAAAAAAAAAAAACCUCUAAAAGUUUUCUUCUUGGGAAUAUAUGUGUAAAAUGGGAACUCAUGAAUUUAUUUUUCCUUAAACUUCCCCUGUUAGUUUACCUGAUUCACUCAUCCACAUAAAAUUUACUGUAGUUGAUUUAGCCUUAUUUAGAAUUGCUUUUUCCCCUCUAAUUUUUUUUCAUUUUGUAACUUUUAAGUCCUCUAAAUAAAAAUAGCAACAAUUUCCCAGUGCUUCUCAUCUCUACAAUUAUUUGAUCACACAACUACAAUGUUUCCUAUUAUAGAAACAGGCUCAGCAUAAUAAAUGCUACAUAAUUUUCUCACAUCAAGUUUUACACAUUUAUUUUACUACUUUAAUAAGUCAUGACUACCACCAAUGACAGUAGUACUAAAUCAAAUACAAAGAGUUUUUGGUGUGCUGUGAUA